Molecule: ribosomal RNA, 429 nt
Filed under: Chloroflexota bacterium
Lineage: Bacteria; Bacillati; Chloroflexota
Description: Chloroflexi bacterium partial 16S ribosomal RNA
Rfam family: Bacterial small subunit ribosomal RNA
Source: RNAcentral
UGGGGAAUAUUGCACAAUGGGCGCAAGCCUGAUGCAGCCAUGCCGCGUGUAUGAAGAAGGCCUUCGGGUUGUAAAGUACUUUCAGUCGGGAGGAAGGUGGUAAAGUUAAUACCUUUGCUCAUUGACGUUACCCGCAGAAGAAGCACCGGCUAACUCCGUGCCAGCAGCCGCGGUAAUACGGAGGGUGCAAGCGUUAAUCGGAAUUACUGGGCGUAAAGCGCACGCAGGCGGUUUGUUAAGUCAGAUGUGAAAUCCCCGGGCUCAACCUGGGAACUGCAUCUGAUACUGGCAAGCUUGAGUCUCGUAGAGGGGGGUAGAAUUCCAGGUGUAGCGGUGAAAUGCGUAAAGAUCUGGAGGAAUACCGGUGGCGAAGGCGGCCCCCUGGACGAAGACUGACGCUCAGGUGCGAAAGCGUGGGGAGCAAACAGG